ACAGCUUGGAUGUAUGAAAGAAAGAAUAACAAUUUUAAUCAUCUGUUCUUAUCAGUUUAAUAUCUGAUACUACAUAUUAAAUUGAUUUUUCGAACAGCAUCGACCCGGUAUUGCAGUACCUCCGGGAACGGUGCAACACUU
This 141-nucleotide small nuclear RNA is filed under the name Oncorhynchus kisutch (coho salmon). Its description in RNAcentral is "U2 spliceosomal RNA (ENSOKIG00005048702.1)". It matches the Rfam family "U2 spliceosomal RNA". From Rfam's summary of the family: U2 is a small nuclear RNA (snRNA) component of the spliceosome (involved in pre-mRNA splicing). Complementary binding between U2 snRNA (in an area lying towards the 5' end but 3' to hairpin I) and the branchpoint sequence (BPS) of the intron results the bulging out of an unpaired adenosine, on the BPS, which initiates a nucleophilic attack at the intronic 5' splice site, thus starting the first of two transesterification reactions that mediate splicing. The record is from Rfam by way of RNAcentral. Lineage: Eukaryota; Metazoa; Chordata; Actinopteri; Salmoniformes; Salmonidae.